ACGAGUCUAAUUUUGUCAUGUUGACCACUUACUAAUGAAUGCUCUGCUUCGGCAGGAGAAUUCUAGUGUCGGACUUCUUGCAGGGGGUUCUGGACACGUUGUCUUCGCUGUGGCGGAGUAGAAACUUCAGGAGAUCUAAUUGGAGAGGCAAAUACCAAAUCAGGGAAAAUUAUUUGUGAUAAAGUAGUUAGAGGAGAUGAAUGUGCAAUAGGAAAUUCUCUGUGUGGGGAAGGUGAUGGUGAUUUCUGCCGAUUAGCAGCAACCGAAGAACGAUGUCUGGCUACAUGGGAAGGAUCAAGGAUCUCCCGGCGUCUAAUGGUCCUUUUUGGACGCCCUGCAGCUCUUGCAGCUACCGCUUCCACGUCGUUGCCAUCAUUAGAUCCACCUGCCACCACUACUUCAAGGUUUGCAUCAGUACCGCGGGAAGCCAAGGUUCCUUCCACCAUAGAAAAACUACCAUUCGCCUAGCGUUAAAGACUUACUGGAUCUGCAUCAUCGCUCUCAUCAUCCGCAAGAGUUUCUCUACCAACACCUUCAACGCACUUCGUACAACGAUAAUUGCUGGAAUGUUGUUUCCAUGUUAAAGUACCACCUCUAGCAAAGACAACUCCGCAACAGGCACGGUGAAGUGGAACUUUACAAACAAGACAUCGACAGAAUUGCUUCCGGCUGGAAACGUCACGGUCACAAUGAGAACACUUUGAAACAGAAGAGAAAGCCAUGAGACUUCUUAUAUAGGAAUGAUGCAACUCGAAGGAGGAGGAGUCACCGAACAUAUUGGUGGUCUUCGAUCUCUGAAUCGUAGAAAAUAUGGUGUAGGGGCUCGCCGAUUUUCCAGAAGUCUUGUUAGUGGUGUGUGAGAUGAUGGGUCCCUUGGGAGAUUACAUGGUAUGUGGCGGAUGUUAUGUGAUGAUACCGGCAAAAUUCCUUUUCUUGGUCCCGUCAACAGGUAAUAAUGGCGGUCUCUACAGAAAAGAUGAUGUGUAUAGGUCUACUUGGUUAUUUAUAACCAGUCACAAAAAGUAACAUUGGAUAAUGAUGAAUAAAAGAAAUAG
Daphnia magna is the source of this 1055-nucleotide long non-coding RNA. RefSeq lists it as uncharacterized. NCBI's taxonomy places the organism in Eukaryota, Metazoa, Arthropoda, Branchiopoda, Diplostraca, Daphniidae. The record is from RefSeq and is a predicted model, not a curated record. The transcript has 3 exons.